This 22-nucleotide non-coding RNA is filed under the name Arabidopsis thaliana (thale cress). Lineage: Eukaryota; Viridiplantae; Streptophyta; Magnoliopsida; Brassicales; Brassicaceae. The record is from RNAcentral.
CGCAUCAGUCCGGCCGAUUCUC